Molecule: ribosomal RNA, 468 nt
Filed under: uncultured bacterium
Lineage: Bacteria
Description: partial 16S ribosomal RNA
Rfam family: Bacterial small subunit ribosomal RNA
Source: RNAcentral
GACGAACGCUGGCGGCGUGCUUAACACAUGCAAGUCGAACGGAAAGGCCCUGCUUUUGUGGGGUUCUCGAGUGGCGAACGGGUGAGUAACACGUGAGUAACCUGCCCUUGACUUUGGGAUAACUUCAGGAAACUGGGGCUAAUACCGGAUAGGAGCUCCUGCUGCAUGGUGGGGGUUGGAAAGUUUCGGCGGUUGGGGAUGGACUCGCGGCUUAUCAGCUUGUUGGUGGGGUAGUGGCUUACCAAGGCUGUGACGGGUAGCCGGCCUGAGAGGGUGAACGGCCACAUUGGGACUGAGAGACGGACCAGACUCGUACGGGAGGCAGCAGUGGGGAAUAUUGCACAAUGGGCGGAAGCCUGAUGCAGCAAUGCCGCGUGCGGGAUGACGGCCUUCGGGUUGUAAACCGCUUUCGCCUGUGACGAAGCGUGAGUGACGGUAAUGGGUAAAGAAGCACCGGCUAACUACGUG